RNAcentral lists this ribosomal RNA (497 nucleotides) under uncultured bacterium. RNAcentral describes it as "partial 16S ribosomal RNA". It matches the Rfam family "Bacterial small subunit ribosomal RNA", at positions 28 to 507 of the family's 1533-position model. The record is from RNAcentral.
GAUGAACGCUGGCGGCGUGCCUAAUACAUGCAAGUCGAGCGAACGGACGAGAAGCUUGCUUCUCUGAUGUUAGCGGCGGACGGGUGAGUAACACGUGGAUAACCUACCUAUAAGACUGGGAUAACUUCGGGAAACCGUAGCUAAUACCGGAUAAUAUUUUGAACCGCAUGGUUCAAAAGUGAAAGACGGUCUUGCUGUCACUUAUAGAUGGAUCCGCGCUGCAUUAGCUAGUUGGUAAGGUAACGGCUUACCAAGGCAACGAUGCAUAGCCGACCUGAGAGGGUCAUCGGCCACACUGGAACUGAGACACGGCCCAGACUCCUACGGGAGGCAGCAGUAGGGAAUCUUCCGCAAUGGGCGAAAGCCUGACGGAGCAACGCCGCGUGAGUGAUGAAGGUCUUCGGAUCGUAAAACUCUGUUAUUAGGGAAGAACAUAUGUGUAAGUAACUGUGCACAUCUUGACGGUACCUAAUCAGAAAGCCACGGCUAACUACGUG